UGAUGAUCCAUAAAGAUCUAGGUACCUUAAUUGCUUUAAAUUACCAAUUGAAUCCAAUAAUUCAACAACAUUAUGAUAAGGAGACAAUGAUAACACUCGUAGAUGCUUGAAUGAUGGCAAUAAUGUACAUAACACCUCAUUAUUGAUCCAUUCAAACCAACACCGCUUCUGUGACCACUCGGGUAAGAAGGCGCGCAAAACUUUAGCUUCAUGUAUGUCCUCAACCUGUUCAAAGGCAUCAUGUACUAUUCUUGAAUAUGAUAAAUGACAAGUCUUUUUAGCAAUUUUGCUUGAAUGGUUACCCUCCAACCUACAACAAAAUUCUCCAGAAACAAAUUUA
Molecule: unclassified non-coding RNA, 340 nt
Filed under: Hevea brasiliensis (rubber tree)
Lineage: Eukaryota; Viridiplantae; Streptophyta; Magnoliopsida; Malpighiales; Euphorbiaceae
Source: RNAcentral